This 433-nucleotide ribosomal RNA is filed under the name uncultured bacterium. Its description in RNAcentral is "partial 16S ribosomal RNA". It matches the Rfam family "Bacterial small subunit ribosomal RNA", at positions 29 to 507 of the family's 1533-position model. The record is from RNAcentral.
AACGAACGCUGGCGGCAUGCCUAACACAUGCAAGUCGAACGAGACCUUCGGGUCUAGUGGCGCACGGGUGCGUAACGCGUGGGAACCUGCCCUUAGGUUCGGCAUAACUCCCCGACAGGGGUGCUAAUACCGGAUAAUGUCUUCGGACCAAAGAUUUAUCGCCUUUGGAUGGGCCCGCGUUGGAUUAGCUAGUUGGUAGGGUAAAAGCCUACCAAGGCGACGAUCCAUAGCUGGUAUGAGAGGAUGAUCAGCCACACUGGGACUGAGACACGGCCCAGACUCCUACGGGAGGCAGCAGUGGGGAAUAUUGGACAAUGGGCGAAAGCCUGAUCCAGCAAUGACGCGUGAGUGAUGAAGGCCUUAGGGUUGUAAAGCUCUUUUACCCGGGAUGAUAAUGACAGUACCGGGAGAAUAAGCUCCGGCUAACUCCGUG